GUCGCAGGUUCGAAUCCUGCACGACCCACCAAUCGCUAAGGUGGAACGCGAUUGUAAAACGUGAAGGAUAACGUUGCGUAAGCAACGGCCCGUAGGGCGAGACGAAGUCGAGUCAUCCUGCACGACCCACCA
This 132-nucleotide small RNA is filed under the name Citrobacter freundii. RNAcentral's name for it is "partial RtT sRNA". It matches the Rfam family "RtT RNA", at positions 34 to 130 of the family's 130-position model. Rfam says of the family: This family represents a bacterial cis-regulatory element known as RtT RNA. The exact function of RtT is unknown although it is thought that it may be involved in changing the cellular response in relation to amino acid starvation. Lineage: Bacteria; Pseudomonadati; Pseudomonadota; Gammaproteobacteria; Enterobacterales; Enterobacteriaceae. The record is from RNAcentral.